CCCCUCAACUUAAAUACAAUUUAUAUUCAGUUUUGCAGCUCCGAUACAGAUAUUUUUCACCUGUCCUUCUGAAUGUCCGUUUAAGCUCAAAUUUGACAAUCAGGCUCGGUUUUACUUAACGAAAGAAAUUUUAAUCUUUCAGUUUCGACCAUAUUUGGUCACCGAAAGCUCUACCGAAUUAAAAUCUCUAGCAGAUAGCAGUCGGAUUUUAUUUUCUACUUUCCGGAUGUCAGAAUGACAUAAAACUUUAAAUCUAUCCUCAUAAAAAUAAUUCUGACAUACUCUCUAGUUUUCAUAAUUUUCUGACACUGUGCAUUUUCUGCUAAAAUAUCAGCCCCGUCUCUUACAGAAAAUUCUAAAUCUUCUGUUUUCGUUCCGAUUUCAACACAAGUCAUUUCUGACUUAUAUUUUACUCCACUAAAUCCAAUAAAAAUAGUAUCUCACACUAUUUUUAUUUAUUUUUACUUUUAUAUCAAAAUCCAGUAUGUUACAUUAAUUAUAAUGACCAAUUAAUAUAGGAGAAUC
This 525-nucleotide long non-coding RNA is filed under the name Ananas comosus (pineapple). Its description in RNAcentral is "long non-coding RNA (ACOM_LNC037393)". Lineage: Eukaryota; Viridiplantae; Streptophyta; Magnoliopsida; Poales; Bromeliaceae. The record is from RNAcentral.